CUGCUACAACAAUUGGUAAUAAGUGGUACCAAAUCUCCAACAAGUCCUCUAGAAUAGGUAGAUAGAGAAAGAUAAGAAGCAAAGAGAAAGUGAGAGAACCAUGGUUCUCUCUCAAAAUAGAGGAAGGACAAGGAAAAGCUAGAUCUACUAGUGGUUGUGGCUAGAGGGUGGUGACCCGUAUUAGCCAGGGUAACAACUGGUGAUAGUGGUUGGCUGGAGGAAGAGAAGAGAGAAAAGAGAAAAUAAGGCAAAGGCAUCCAUUGCUCAAACUGCAAUUGCAAAAAGGCUGAUGAAGGUGAUGACAAUCUUGGCCAGGGGCCUACCUCCGGCGAGGACUUUGACCAUGUCAACUUUCAAGGUGGCCAAUGGUGGAUGAAUGCUAAAUGAAAACAAGCAAAAUAGGGGAGGUGCUACUUAAUAAAAUCAGGCAAUCAAUUGACUCAAAUCUAGCUGGCAAUAUCGGCCCUAGAACUUUGAAGAAGGUGGAAGAGAGAUUUGAGAUCAAUUACCACAAUUGCCGGCAAGACAUCGAGAAAAACAUGGCAAGAAAAUCAACAAAACACCUAAGAAAAUCAUGGCAAAAAUCUAUGGUGAUCGGAGGGAUUCUUGAUAGUGGAGUGAUAAAGGAGAAGAGAUCUGGCUUGGCCAGUCGAUCAAUGGACUAGGCCAGGCCUUACACAUUGGUGGGGAGAUGAUGGUGAUGUAGCUUGCAAUGCCAAGAAGAAGAGGAAAGAUAGAUGAAUGAGAUGGUGGAAGAAGAUGGUAGGAAGAUAAUGGUCAACUCUCAAGGAAGAAGAAGCCGAUCCUAUCAAAAGAAAAAGGAAGAAGAAGCCAGUCAGCAUGGGGAAAUGAUAGCGGUGGAAUUGAUAUAUGCUGAAAUUGAUAUAUGUUGAAAUUCAGAUUAAGAUCAAAUCACAUACCUAUUUCGUAAUUUUUUUCUUCAAAUCUAGAUCUGGAAGAGAAGAGAUCCUCUCUUAGCCGCACAAAUAUCCGAUCUCUACGAGUAUCCACUCGGGAUCAGCCUAGAACAAUCUUCUUUAAUCUAAAUUUUUAUUUUUUAAAAUUCAGCCUGCUGAAUCUGAACGAAGUCUGGAUCAUGAUCAAUGCUUGAUCUCUUUCCUUAAUCUUCUUUUUCUCUUCUUUAGAGUUUUUCUCCUUGCUAUGUGCUGCUACCAGAUACUAGAAAUCAGCAAGGAAGAGGCACCCAACAGCCCUUGGGCAUGGGACUCCUUGGGACGCAUGUCCCAAGAGAAAGGGGGUGUGGGACACCCAAGGGAAGAGAAAGGGAGAGGA
This 1293-nucleotide long non-coding RNA is filed under the name Elaeis guineensis (African oil palm). RNAcentral's name for it is "long non-coding RNA (EGUI_LNC017630)". The record is from RNAcentral. Lineage: Eukaryota; Viridiplantae; Streptophyta; Magnoliopsida; Arecales; Arecaceae.